RNAcentral lists this ribosomal RNA (476 nucleotides) under uncultured bacterium. RNAcentral's name for it is "bacterial SSU rRNA". It matches the Rfam family "Bacterial small subunit ribosomal RNA", at positions 33 to 507 of the family's 1533-position model. The record is from RNAcentral.
ACACGCUGGCGGCGUGCCUAACACAUGCAAGUCAACUUGACUGAAGGAGCAAUCUGACAGUAGAGUGGCGCAAGGGUGCGUAACGCGUAAGUAACUUGCCCAAGGUAAGGAAUAACGUCGAGAAAUCGGCGCUAAUACCUCAUAAUGCAGCGGAUCCGCAUGGAUAUGUUGUUAAAGGUUUACCGCCUUGGGAUAGGCUUGCGUCUGAUUAGCUAGUUGGUGUGGUAACGGCACACCAAGGCUACGAUCAGUAACUGGUCUGAGAGGAUGAUCAGUCACACUGGAACUGAGACACGGUCCAGACUCCUACGGGAGGCAGCAGUGAGGAAUAUUGGGCAAUGCUCGAAAGAGUGACCCAGCAACGCCGCGUGGAGGAUGAAGGUAUUCUAUAUCGUAAACUCCUGUGAGAGCAGACGAAAGACAGAUUAUUAAUCUGGAUGACUGUAUGCUCAGAGGAAGCCCCGGCUAACUACGUG